CACGUAGGGCGCAAGCGUUGUCCGGAAUUAUUGGGCGUAAAGAGCUCGUAGGCGGUCUGUUGCGUCCGCUGUGAAAACUCGGGGCUUAACCCCGAGCCUGCAGUGGAUACGGGCAGACUAGAGGUAGGUAGGGGAGAAUGGAAUUCCCGGUGUAGCGGUGAAAUGCGCAGAUAUCGGGAGGAACACCGGUGGCGAAGGCGGUUCUCUGGGCCUUGCCUGACGCUGAGGCGCGAAAGCUAGGGGAGCGAACAGG
This 253-nucleotide ribosomal RNA is filed under the name uncultured bacterium. RNAcentral's name for it is "partial 16S ribosomal RNA". It matches the Rfam family "Bacterial small subunit ribosomal RNA", at positions 524 to 776 of the family's 1533-position model. The record is from RNAcentral.